RNAcentral lists this ribosomal RNA (757 nucleotides) under uncultured Gammaproteobacteria bacterium. RNAcentral describes it as "bacterial SSU rRNA". It matches the Rfam family "Bacterial small subunit ribosomal RNA", at positions 392 to 1140 of the family's 1533-position model. Lineage: Bacteria; Pseudomonadati; Pseudomonadota; Gammaproteobacteria. The record is from RNAcentral.
GUAUACCGCGUGUGUGAAGAAGGCCUUAGGGUUGUAAAGCACUUUAAUCANAGAAGAAGCAUUUUAAGUUAAUACCUUAAUUUGUUGACGUUAACUGAAGAAUAAGGACCGGCUAACUCCGUGCCAGCAGCCGCGGUAAUACGGAGGGUCCAAGCGUUAAUCGGAAUUACUGGGCGUAAAGCGCGCGUAGGCGGUUUAGCAAGUUGUAUGUGAAAGCCCUGGGCUCAACCUAGGAACUGCAUCCGAAACUACUAAGCUAGAGUACGAGAGAGGAGAGUAGAAUUUCUGGUGUAGCGGUGAAAUGCGUAGAUAUCAGAAGGAAUACCAAUGGCGAAGGCAGCUCUCUGGCUCGUAACUGACGCUGAGGUGCGAAAGCGUGGGUAGCAAACAGGAUUAGAUACCCUGGUAGUCCACGCCGUAAACGAUGACAACUAGCCGUUGGGCAGAUUUAACUGUUCAGUGGCACAGCUAACGCAUUAAGUUGUCCGCCUGGGGAGUACGGCCGCAAGGCUAAAACUCAAAUGAAUUGACGGGGGCCCGCACAAGUGGUGGAGCAUGUGGUUUAAUUCGAUGCAACGCGAAGAACCUUACCAAUCCUUGAAAUCUAGCGAAGUUCGCAGAGAUGUGAAUGUGCCUUCGGGAACGCUAUGACAGGUGUUGCAUGGCUGUCGUCAGCUCGUGUCGUGAGAUGUAUGGUUAAGUCCAGUAACGAGCGCAACCCCUAUCCUUAUUUGCCAGCGCGUAAUGGCGGGAACUA